AACCGCGUGUUUAGUGGGGUCGGUGACUGACUCUUAAUCAGUGGGUUCCGGGUUCAAGUCCCGGGGGGU
RNAcentral lists this transfer RNA (69 nucleotides) under Pontimonas sp. Its description in RNAcentral is "tRNA-Lys". Lineage: Bacteria; Bacillati; Actinomycetota; Actinomycetes; Micrococcales; Microbacteriaceae. The record is from RNAcentral.